Molecule: ribosomal RNA, 506 nt
Filed under: uncultured bacterium
Lineage: Bacteria
Description: bacterial SSU rRNA
Rfam family: Bacterial small subunit ribosomal RNA
Source: RNAcentral
AGUCACGAGUUUGAUCAUGGCUCAGAUUGAACGCUGGCGGAAUGCUUUACACAUGACAAGUCGAACGGUAGAGGGGGCAACCCUUGAGAGUGGCGAACGGGGGAGUAAUAUAUCGGAACGUGCCAGUCGUGGGGGAUAACGUAGCGAAAGUUACGCUAAUACCGCAUACGAUCUACGGAUGAAAGCGGGGGAAUCGCAAGAGCCUCGCGCGAUUGGAGCGGCCGAUAUCAGAUUAGGUAGUUGGUGGGGUAAAGGCUCACCAAGCCAACGAUCUGUAGCUGGUCUGAGAGGACGACCAGCCACACUGGAACUGAGACACGGUCCAGACUCCUACGGGAGGCAGCAGUGGGGAAUUUUGGACAAUGGACGCAAGUCUGAUCCAGCCAUUCCGCGUGCAGGAUGAAGGCCCUCGGGUUGUAAACUGCUUUUGUACGGAACGAAAAGGUUUCUAUUAAUACUAGGAGCUCAUGACGGUACCGUAAGAAUAAGCACCGGCUAACUACGUG